Molecule: long non-coding RNA, 367 nt
Organism: Ailuropoda melanoleuca (giant panda)
Lineage: Eukaryota; Metazoa; Chordata; Mammalia; Carnivora; Ursidae
Exons: 3
Source: RefSeq, a predicted model, not a curated record
AUUCUGAACUCCGCAUCUUGAAAAGUGCUGUUCCAUGGGAUAUGCUCUGUGGAAUUCCAGGACAGUUGCGCCCCUCACUUUAAAAGGAGGGAAUCAAAGGCUCAGAGAGUUUGAGUCACUCGCUUGAGGUGCCUCAGUUUAUCUUUCAACGGUUCUGGUGACAGAAGAAAGAACCAAUGGACACCGGGGCCCCACGCCCCCCGGAGCAAGGAGCGACAAGGCGCAGGUACCUGUGGGGCUCCUGGAGCCGCUGCGUCCUCGCUGUCUCGGGAGGCGGAGGUUUCUGGUGCCCCAGUGAGAACUACUGGGACAUCAACUCGCUCAGGAGCCUGCGGAUGGGAUCCUGGGAGAACUGGCUGAAGCCAGC